Molecule: ribosomal RNA, 497 nt
Filed under: uncultured bacterium
Lineage: Bacteria
Description: partial 16S ribosomal RNA
Rfam family: Bacterial small subunit ribosomal RNA
Source: RNAcentral
GAUGAACGCUGGCGGCGUGCCUAAUACAUGCAAGUCGAGCGAACGGACGAGAAGCUUGCUUCUCUGAUGUUAGCGGCGGACGGGUGAGUAACACGUGGAUAACCUACCUAUAAGACUGGGAUAACUUCGGGAAACCGGAGCUAAUACCGGAUAAUAUUUUGAACCGCAUGGUUCAAAAGUGAAAGACGGUCUUGCUGUCACUUAUAGAUGGAUCCGCGCUGCAUUAGCUAGUUGGUAAGGUAACGGCUUACCAAGGCAACGAUGCAUAGCCGACCUGAGAGGGUGAUCGGCCACACUGGAACUGAGACACGGUCCAGACUCCUACGGGAGGCAGCAGUAGGGAAUCUUCCGCAAUGGGCGAAAGCCUGACGGAGCAACGCCGCGUGAGUGAUGAAGGUCUUCGGAUCGUAAAACUCUAUUAUGAGGGAAGAACAUAUGUGUAAGUAACUGUGCACAUCUUGACGGUACCUAAUCAGAAAGCCACGGCUAACUACGUG